GCAUGGGGGCCUAUGUAACCGUGCUGCCAGCUGCCAGGGAUCAGAGAGGUGGAUGGAGAACGGGAAGCACCCUCCCGCCGGGGGACCCCCUCCAUUUCAGCUUAGGCCAUGUGACUCCCCAAAGUGCUGCAUCUUUUGCCUAGUUCACGUUUAUAGUUCCUGCCAGGGUUAGACAGACAUUCGCUGCUGCUGCUGCUGCUGCUGCUUUCGGGGUUGGCUGCAUUGGGAAGCUGCCGUGUGUGGGUGGAUGCCUUGCUGCGAAAGCACCGUCUUCCUUUCACCCCUUUCCUUCCUCCCUUCCUUCCUCCCCCUCGGUGUGUGCUUGUUGACAUGGUCUGUGGUGGGGCUUAGCGCGAGACGGAGCACGAGGAUCGCCACACGCCACGUGCAUGGGCCACGGACCCACGUCCUGCGGGAGCUCUGCAUGCCCCUAGGUCUCCGCAGCUGCCCUGUCUCACGUCCUGGGUUUAGCCGCCGCCGCAUCCGCGCUCCCACCUUGGUUGUGCCUCACUGACAAUGGUGCUUCUUCAGUGGUCUGUCUCUUCUUACGUUUUUUCUUUGUAAGGUGCUGUACAUAACUUGAAUAUAUUAUGCACAUAUCCUACCCAAUGGGUAGAACAUACAUUGUUAAUACUGUACUAUAAUGUAUAGAUACCAAUUUUAACAGAAAUGGCAUAGAACUUGUGAAUGCCUAUGUGCUUUGUCCUCUUUUGUAAGGAAAUUUGCAAAUGGAUGCCUACAGAUUAAAAAAAAAAAAGUCUAUGUAGUUUAUUUUCCUAUUAAAUACCAAUAUUAUAACACAAGGGAAAGAAGUCUGAACAAGCAAGCCGCCGUUUAUGACCAGCGUAUGCAUAGCAAUGGAGAGUUGCAUCUUUGCUGUGAAAACACUUUAAAAAAUAUAUAUAAGUUUAAAAAAAAAAUUCCAUAGCUUUUUGGUUGCCAUUAGAUGCUUCUUCUUUUCAGCUCUUAACGCUCAGUUGGACCAGUGUUAGAAGAAAAAAAAAAAAAUUAACUUUUCAGCCUGUUUUAUGAAGACAUCCAUGUUGUGUGGGAGAGUGAUGUCAGACCCCAGAGAAAGUGCACAUUUUGCAAAAAUCACAUCCAGAGUCAGGGGGCCUGCAGCGGAGGGCCGCCUUGCUCAGGAUGGGGGCAUUUGGGACCAUCUGGGUCCCGAGUCUCUCUCUCUGCCUUUCUCCUUCACGAACUGAAGCUGUGGAGCCAGUGAAAUAACCGGAGGGUUUGUAGGGAAAGCAUACCUCAGGAAACAUGAAUCCACUUAGGACCCCAUUCUUCGAAAAAAUCUCGUUAUGGGUUAUGUUAGCAGAGAACUAGCUAUCAGCCAGCCGAGUUGGGAAUCUUAUGUCCAUUCCUUUUGGUGUCUCGUGGUGAUCUUGAUCUAAAAAAUAAACUAGGUUUUGCCACAAGUUAUGGAAUACAUUUUCAGUUGCAUGAUGUCACAUCUCUCUUCUAGCUCGGUUUUUAGUUUCUGAGUGUGCCCUCUGCAUUUAUUUGCAAAUAUUCUAAUGUUACAAAAAAAAAAAAAAAAAAAAAGAGCCGAUAACAAUGUGCUCACUAAACCACUGUUGAACAUGGGUGUGAGCAUCCUUUCCAGUGGUCUGUCCCUGGAGGAUCUUAAUUCUGAUAAGUGCCAUGGUUUUUAUUUGCUUGGUGGUGUCAGUUCUGAUCUUGCAAAUCACAAUAGGAUCACACCCUUUCCUGCCAGAGAACAAAUUAUUACCGAUUAUCCUUAAACUGAAAAUGCCUCUACAAUGCAGCUCUUAAUGCUGAAUGGACUAAAAGUCAGCCCUUCUUUUAUUAUCUGUUUUGAAAGAUCCAUCAAAAGAUCGAUAUCUCGUGUGUUCUCGCUCCUGUCCAACCCCACUGUCUGCUGCAGGGUUCCCCAGGCUUCAGCAUUAAAAAGAGGGGCUCAUGGCUGUCAGGAACCACAUCCCCCACCCCACCCCAGGUUUGAUCUCUGGGGAGAACUGUUGAGAGUGGGUGUCAGAGAAUGUUCUGGACUCAGAGGUACUAACAUUUGUUACCACAUCAUGGCUUUUCUCUCUACAGAACUAAUUAAGGCUUAAACUUUAUUGUUAAUGAUACUGGUUCAUUUUAAUGUGUUUAUUGGUAUAUUGUUAUUUUUCAUUUCAUGGCUUUCAUAUAUCACGUUUUCUAAUUGUAUAUUUGUCUAGUGUGAAGCUGUUUUAAAACAUGUAAUACUAUUCACAGCAUUUAGUUCAUUUAAUUAUUAUAAAGCAGCCUACUAAAAAAGUACAACUGUAUUUGAACUUUUCAAGUUGAUCAUAUGAGUUAUAAUAAUCAGAAGUCAUUAAAGUCUUUUUUUUAACAGCCAUUUGUGCUUACUUUUCAAAAUAAUUCCCAAUUAUGUACUAAAAAAGAUCUCCAACUGUUGUGUAUCUGCCUCUUUUUAACUGAGCACUGGCGAUGUAGUUCUUAGGCCUAAGGUCUGUCAUUGCAAUACUUUUAAAGAGAGAUGUUGCUCCAAGUGCUGUUAAAGCUAUGAAAUCAGCUUUUUCUGCUUGUUCGUAAUGCUAUGGUCCAACCACAGCACAAAAUUAUUAAAAAUAAUCAGUGA
Pipistrellus kuhlii (Kuhl's pipistrelle) is the source of this 2596-nucleotide long non-coding RNA. RefSeq lists it as uncharacterized. The transcript is spliced from 2 exons. NCBI's taxonomy places the organism in Eukaryota, Metazoa, Chordata, Mammalia, Chiroptera, Vespertilionidae. The record is from RefSeq and is a predicted model, not a curated record.